GAUGAACGCUAGCGGCAGGCUUAAUACAUGCAAGUCGUGGGGCAGCAUGAGUAGCAAUACUUGAUGGCGACCGGCAAACGGGUGAGGAACACGUACACAACCCUCCUUCAAGCGGGGAAUAGCCCAGAGAAAUUUGGAUUAAUACCCCAUAAUAUAUUUGAUAAGGCAUCUUAUUAAUAUUAAAGCUUCGGCACUUGAUGAUGGGUGUGCGGCUGAUUAGAUAGUUGGCGGGUAACGGCCCACCAAGUCUACGAUCAGUAGCUGAUGUGAGAGCAUGAUCAGCCACACGGGCACUGAGACACGGGCCCGACUCCUACGGGAGGCAGCAGUAAGGAACAUUGGACAAUGGACGAAAGUCUGAUCCAGCCAUGCCGCGUGAAGGAUUAAGGUCCUCUGGAUUGUAAACUUCUUUAUAUGGACGAAAAAGGGCAUUACUUGUUCUACUUGUACGGUACCAUAUAGAAUAAGCACCGGCUAACUCCGUGCCAG
This 489-nucleotide ribosomal RNA is filed under the name uncultured bacterium. RNAcentral describes it as "bacterial SSU rRNA". It matches the Rfam family "Bacterial small subunit ribosomal RNA", at positions 28 to 511 of the family's 1533-position model. The record is from RNAcentral.